RNAcentral lists this ribosomal RNA (205 nucleotides) under uncultured bacterium. Its description in RNAcentral is "partial 16S ribosomal RNA". It matches the Rfam family "Bacterial small subunit ribosomal RNA", at positions 568 to 773 of the family's 1533-position model. The record is from RNAcentral.
CGUGUAGGCGGCGAUUUAAGUCUGGAGUGAAAGUCCUGCUUUUAAGGUGGGAAUUGCUUUGGAUACUGGAUGGCUAGAGUGCAGGAGAGGUUAGUGGAAUUCCCAGUGUAGCGGUGAAAUGCGUAGAUAUUGGGAAGAACACCAGUGGCGAAGGCGGCUUUCUGGACUGUAACUGACGCUGAGGCUCGAAAGGCUGGUAGCAACG